CUCUCUAGCCAGAUGAAGCUAACUGGCAGCUAAUAACGUUAGCUGUGGUCAACAGGGUUAAGUAGCUGGAUAGCUAGUUAUUUUCAUGAAAUGAAGUUCGAUUUCAAUAGGGGAACAACACUAGCCAAUACUUACUCGCAUGGAUUCCUAAAUCAUCGCUAAAAAAACAUUGAAAAUGAGUGCAGUUUCUACUGGUCAUUGCUUUCAGGCUGGUUGCAUCGAUGCUAGCUAGCUACCCCCAGAGGUUGCUAAUAACAUCUGUAUCAAACAUAUUUCCAAGCCGUUUUGAUCCUGAUCUUAUUUCAAAUGCUCACACAGACGUUUUCCCAUUCGGUGGAACAAAUCAUUCGUUAUUACCAACGUGGUAUUGUAAACACAUUGUGGCCGGUGUGGGUGCUUGUUUUUGUAGAAUUAUUUUGUACAACUUUGACAGUGCUGGUGGCGCUUGGCUUUCACACACAACAUUCCAUAAUAUAAUCGUGUUAUUUGACAUGUCAAAUUAUUAUUUUAUGUAUCUUUUUUUUUGACAAGCAUUUGACCUAAACGGCUACCCAUACCGGCCGGUUAGGGACCAAUGAUAAAUGCCGUGUUCGAUUUUGAUUUAGGUUUUUUUUUUUAUUAACAACAAAUCAAUACAGGAAGUACAUGAGGGAACACAAGUAUUUAUGGAUAGUAUACAAUGGACAAUUGAGCUAGGGGGCGGGGCUGGGGGCACAAUAUCACAUUACACAGGGGACCUUAAGGGACAUGCAUAUACUUAUAAUUCGAACAGAUUCUUUUGUUAGUGGAGUAUUUAAUUGUCUUAAAAUACAGUUCAAUUUAUUUUUGUAGGGUAAGAAAAUGUGUUUUUCUGUUUGUAAAUGUACAUUUGUGAAUAUGACAUUUGGCCAAAAGAAUAAUUAAAUUAAUUACGUGAAAAUGUUUCAGCUUAUUCCUAUCGUAGAUAAAGAAUCCAAGCAGUACAUCUCUCCACAAUAGUGUUAAAUCUUCAUAAAAGUGUUCAAUUAUAAAUCUACUGAUGUCUUGCCACAGUUUUCUUACAUGAAUACAUUGUCAAAAAAGUUGCAACACUGUUUCUGGGUGGUCAAUACAAAAGGAGCAAUUUGAAUUGAUGUUUUCCUUAAACUUCUUCAUAUAGUGGUUGGCAGGAUAAUAUUUAUGAAUAAUUUUAAAGGAAACUUCCUUAAUUUUGUUAACAAGUAGGUAUGUGUGUGGCAAUAUCAAAACUUUUUCCCAACAGAUAUUAUCAAUAAAUCCAUUCCAAUAAGGCAUGACAUAAAGUAUAGAUACAACAUCCUGCUGAAACAAGGAUCGUAUCGCUCUGUUGUUGAAUGGACCAAAAGAUAAACAAAUCUUUCCUACUCAUGAGUCAACAGGGUCAACAGAAGGUCGGCUCUGAGGGUCAGGUCUUUCCUACUGAUGAGUCAACAGGGUCAAUAGAAGGUCGGCUCUGAGGGUCAGGUCUUUCCUACUGAUGAGUCAACAGGGUCAAUAGAAGGUCGGCUCUGAGGGUCAGGUCUUUCCUACUGAUGAGUCAACAGGGUCAAUAGAAGGUCGGCUCUGAGGGUCAGGUCUUUCCUACUGAUGAGUCAACAGGGUCAAUAGAAGGUCGGCUCUGAGGGUCAGGUCUUUCCUACUGAUGAGUCAACAGGGUCAAUAGAAGGUCGGCUCUGAGGGUCAGGUCUUUCCUACUGAUGAGUCAACAGGGUCAAUAGAAGGUCGGCUCUGAGGGUCAGGUCUUUCCUACUGAUGAGUCAACAGGGUCAAUAGAAGGUCGGCUCUGAGGGUCAGGUCUUUCCUACUGAUGAGUCAACAGGGUCAAUAGAAGGUAGGCUCUGAGGGUCAGGUCUUUCCUACUGAUGAGUCAACAGGGUCAACAGAAGGUAGGCUCUGAGGGUCAGGUCUUUCCUACUGAUGAGUCAACAGGGUCAAUAGAAGGUAGGCUCUGAGGGUCAGGUCUUUCCUACUGAUGAGUCAACAGGGUCAAUAGAAGGUCGGCUCUGAGGGUCAGGUCUUUCCUACUGAUGAGUCAACAGGGUCAAUAGAAGGUCGGCUCUGAGGGUCUUGACACGUUCCUGAGUAAUAAAGCAACACCUGAGGGAAUGGCAUCUAAAACAAUUUCAAAAUCUUUAGGUGUUACAGGGACCUUGUAAAGUGAUAAGAAUUCCUUAUAACUGAGUAAGAGAGCCUCUGCAUUUACCAGUUGGCUCCCCAACAGGAUAUUAUUUAGAAACCAAUAUUCCAAAAACAAAGAAGUAUUUUUAUACAAUAUGUCCCGAUUAUUCCAUAUAUAAUAUCUGUGUGGAGAAAAAUUAUAAUUGCAAAACGACAUGAAGUUAAGGCCACCAAAAGUAGAGAAGACAUGAUGAGUAAUACAAUUCUACAUAGAUGUGUCUUCUUAGGAAUUGUUUUAUCCAAUUGAUCUUAAAAGUAUUAUUUAAGGUAGUAAAGUCCAGAAAAUUCAGCCCACCAUUCUCAUAAGUGUUCAUUACAACAGUUUUCCUAAUGUAAUGUUUACGGUUUCUCCACAGAAAGUUGAAAAGCAUCUGGUCUAUCUCCUUGCUUAUUUUACUGUCAAGAUAUAAAGAUAGAGCACCAUAUGUUAGUCUAGAGAUACCUUCAGCCUUGGUUAUUAGGACUCUACCUUUUAAAGAUAAGUCCCUCUGUAGCCAUUGAUUUAGUUUCUUCUGGGUUUUUUUUAAUAAGAGGGUUAAAAUUUAGUAAGCCUCCAGACUUCUGAUCCUUUGUAAUGGUUAUGCCUAAAUAUGUAAGUUAUUAUUUUACUGGAAUACCAUAAUAUGAAGGUGUCACACAAUCUUUGACAGCUAUUAGUUCACAUUUAUUAAUGUUAAGAUAUAGACCAGACGCUUUGGAAAAGCAUUGUAUCACAUUGAUCGAUAUGGGAAUUUGGUUAGCGUCUUUCAGAGAAAGUGUAGUAUCGUCAGCCAGCUGGC
Molecule: long non-coding RNA, 2954 nt
Organism: Oncorhynchus keta (chum salmon)
Lineage: Eukaryota; Metazoa; Chordata; Actinopteri; Salmoniformes; Salmonidae
Exons: 3
Source: RefSeq, a predicted model, not a curated record